UUAACAGGAUUAGAUACCCUGGUAGUCCACGCCCUAAACGAUGUCAACUAGCUGUUGGGGCCGUUAGGCCUUAGUAGCGCAGCUAACGCGUGAAGUUGACCGCCUGGGGAGUACGGUCGCAAGAUUAAAACUCAAAGGAAUUGACGGGGACCCGCACAAGCGGUGGAUGAUGUGGAUUAAUUCGAUGCAACGCGAAAAACCUUACCUACCCUUGACAUGUCUGGAAAGCCGAAGAGAUUUGGCCGUGCUCGCAAGAGAACCGGAACACAGGUGCUGCAUGGCUGUCGUCAGCUCGUGUCGUGAGAUGUUGGGUUAAGUCCCGCAACGAGCGCAGCCCUUGUCAUUAGUUGCUACGCAAGAGCACUCUAAUGAGACUGCCGGUGACAAACCGGAGGAAGGUGGGGAUGACGUA
This 412-nucleotide ribosomal RNA is filed under the name uncultured bacterium. Its description in RNAcentral is "bacterial SSU rRNA". It matches the Rfam family "Bacterial small subunit ribosomal RNA", at positions 769 to 1186 of the family's 1533-position model. The record is from RNAcentral.